GGAUGUGAGGGAAAUCUGGCUGUGACAUCUGUCACCCUAUUGAUCACCAGGGUUAAUUUGGCUCAUCUAACUGGUUGGGUGGGUGUUCCCUUCCUCCAUGUACAUCCCUCUGGAACCUGUGCGUUCAGUCAAAAAAGAUGAUCUUUAAUAGAGAAGGACUGUCCUUCAGUCAAGGGUAUAUAUGAGUAGCUGCGCAUUUCUGCUAGAACCUCCAAACAAGUUCUCAAGAAACAUUAGUCUUCUUGGCUAAUGAGAAAAUAAUUUAAAUUUUUUCAAACACUAGCCUUAAAAUACAAGGC
RNAcentral lists this small nuclear RNA (299 nucleotides) under Castor canadensis (American beaver). RNAcentral's name for it is "7SK RNA (ENSCCNG00000026275.1)". It matches the Rfam family "7SK RNA". From Rfam's summary of the family: 7SK was discovered as an abundant small nuclear RNA in the mid-70s but a possible function has only recently been suggested. Two independent studies have found that 7SK RNA binds the CDK9/cyclin T complex (known as elongation factor P-TEFb). The record is from RNAcentral. Lineage: Eukaryota; Metazoa; Chordata; Mammalia; Rodentia; Castoridae.